Triticum aestivum (bread wheat) is the source of this 3341-nucleotide long non-coding RNA. RefSeq lists it as uncharacterized. NCBI's taxonomy places the organism in Eukaryota, Viridiplantae, Streptophyta, Magnoliopsida, Poales, Poaceae. The record is from RefSeq and is a predicted model, not a curated record. The transcript has 10 exons.
GUGAAACCCUAGCCACCACUCCCCGUCGGGCUUCUCUCCUCCGCUCCCCAUUGCGCCCCUCUCCUCCAAUCCCCGCAGCCGACGACGAGGUCUCGCCCUUCGCCGAGCUUGCCACCACCGCUGCUCUCCCCUCGCCAUCACCGGGAGGAGCGUGCAGGCCGCCGCUCGCGUCGUUUCUCCGCAGCCGCCACCGCCCCUUCCCUUCCAAGCCCGUGGAGAUGACGGCGCCGGCGCUGGCGCUCGCGGUGGUCGGGUACUGGGCUGCCCGACAGCCGCGGGGCCAGGACGCUCUAUGUCGCAAGGGACCUCAAGCUGUCGACGGCGGGGACUGAGUCGCCGCCGCCGCAUCAUCUUCUCCUCCUCCCCAACACCGCAUGAGUGCGGGUCGCCGUCGCGCCAGAUGAGGUGGGGCUGCAACCACGCCCCCUUCACCUCUUCUACCCAGCCGUGCCACUCGGGACGACAAGAUCCAGCCGCGGCGGCCGAGAUCCAGUUGGCUGCCAUCGAUAUGAGGAGCGCUCGCGCCGCUGCUCCGCCGUUCAUCGUCCACUUGGCCGCAACCAUCCACAAGAAGAGGUGAUGUCACGGCAGCAGGGUCCUCACCUGUCUCCGCUCCCUCGUCUCCCCCUUCUGCUGGCAAGGGUGCUGAGCAGCAACAGUUCCAUCUCCCUCCCCAACGCAUCAUUGCCUCAUCUUGAGCUGCAAUGAACCAGAGCCCAGAGAAAGAGAUUUGAUGUGAUGAUUGAGGUAGAAGGCAUGGAUUGUUUGGGGCUUCUCUGAAAUAAGCUUCUCUAAUGCAGGAAAACAACAUGAAUGAGCUUAAGAGAUUUAAUGAAGAGAUGAAUACAGUCGGAGCCUGGGAUUUUUAUACACAGAGAUGGUGCAUAAAUAAGCAAUACAAAAAAUGCGCAAAUGCUUUGCCAGAAUUUCGUUGGUCCUCUCAAAAUUGUGGGGAAACCAAGAUUGAAUUUAGAGAUGUUUCAUAUGCUUGGCCGUUGACACACCUCUCUUCAAGGCAAGGUCAUUUCCAAGGUGAUUACAGCGCUAGGACCUGCCCCUGAUAAGAACCAGGGCACCCGUUUAAACAGAAUGAUGACUGUGUGAGGCUUAAAAUAUCGCCAUCAUAGCAGGGGUGAUGCUGUCACUUCCAUGAUCCACCAGAAUGAAGAUCGCACUCAGUGCUGCAAGGGGGCUUGCCUUCCUGCACGAAGCUGAGAAGCCAGUUGUCUACAUGGAUUCAAGACAUCCAACAUAUUGCUCGACGAGGAAAACAACAUGAAUGAGAUUAAGAGAUUUAAUGAAGAGAUAUGACAGGAUUAGGCGGAGAUGAUGAAAGGCUUUGUAAAAGUCAGAUAAUUGGUUGAACUGCUUUUGGAAGAGGCAGCAGGAAGCAUAGAAGACAUGGUGCCAUGGAGAUUCAAAGUACGGAAAGAUGGAAGAGAUCUCUUUGAUUUAUAUAUGUGCUCACGAGGACAUUCCCAUUGCAUCUGAAUUGACAAGUUGAAGAAUCUGGUCUUUUUGUGCUUGCCUACAGAACUGUCAUAUCUUAUAUUUGUUGGUCAAAUAAAAACGACUGAUGGUUGAUUGUCUCAACCACGAAUGAGCAUUUCUGGAUUGUAGAACAAAGAGUGUCCCGGGCAAAAGGACCAAGUUUUGGCGGGUGGGCAUCGGGAGUCCAGUUGGUUGGCUUCAGCCUUAGAGGUGCUGUCGGCUAGCGGCGCCGCUUCUGAGUGUCUCCUCAACUCACUCCCGUGGCACCUUCGGCCAGUUCAUGUGAAGUGCCACCUGUGAAGUUGAUCGACAAGGCAGUUGAAUGAAGCCACUUAUUAGCACCUUGCUUGCUCUUCUUUCUUUUUGGAGCCAAAAGAUCCAUCGGCGCUCCAUUACCGGGCUUUGAUUUGAAGAGACUGCUGGGCAAGGCUAUCUCGGUCAUCUUCGGUUUGAUACAUAGGUCAAACCAGGACUCACACACUCUCUCGCCGAUAUUUCACUUCGAUCCCGUGAAUAUAUCGUCUUCUACGCACGGCGGCGCUGCCUUGGAUCGGCCCUCCAUCGCGCCGCUUUGUUCGUCACCACGCAUCUCAGCUCCAAUAACCAGGUCACGAUGGCUGAUGAUGAGCUCCAGGCUCCGCUGGCUCCACCAACAGCUGUCUGCGAGCACUUGCACAGGUCAGCUGAGAUGCGUCACGUCCCCUCUGGUUUAUCUAGACGGCUGCAAAAGUAUGGUCAGAAAUUAAAGAGGGGAGCCAAAUGAGAGCACGGCUUAGAAAUAGCCAGGGUAGUCCAAGGUCGAAUCCAGGAAAAUUUGACAAUGGAUUCAGUUAGUAUACAAAUAUGCACAUUGAAUUAAUAUAAUGGGCUAUUUCCCCAUGCCCGCACACACACUCGAGGGCUGGACGCGAGUACAUGAGCUAAUCAAUUCUAGGUCCGUUGUGUUGUCUUGGGGUGUGAUCAGAGUUUUGGGGGAUCAACAGAGUUUAGUAACGGAUAGCAGAGUUUUGCAAUGUCCGCACUUUCAGAAAGGGAGGGCGUGGUCCUGUUUCACCUCCACGAGGCUCCGCCAGUGCCAGUAUGUGACUCAGCAGUCUCUACAAUCGAAGGAGAUACUCUCAGAUAUAGGCAGUGCCAUCCGCACAAAGAAACAUACGCAUGAUCUAGGAAUAUCAAAUAAAUAAUGAUAAUUGCAUCCAUGUCUUGGGAUGAUUUAAACUCUAUUUCGUUGAUACUGUGUAGGUAGGUUUCUUUAGAAAGACCAAGCAUUAUACGAAUUUGCUUUCUGUCUUUCCACAAUAUAUGAUCGUAUCAGUCUUACCUUCUGAGCUACUCUUGCUAUGGCAGCCUGAUUACCAGAGACUUAGCGUCUCUUAUUUAUCACUAUGCUUUUUUUCAAAUUCCUCUCCUGUAUUGUGAUCUCAAUUGCUUUAAGCAGAGCAGUUCCCCUGACUUUACUUUUUGUGUUCUUGGGUCCCGUAUAGAACAGUUCUUGACAGCCUCCUAGCACACCUUGGGCGUGCUAUUAGAUGGGGCCUCUCCUAAUUCACAACUGCUCCUAUGCCUAUCAAGGUGAUUUCGUCUUGCUGUACAUGUAUUGCACUUCCAGGAUGCUUGAGUGCAGAAAUCAUUGUACUCCAUAUAUCUCACAAUUUGUUUGUAUCAGGUUCAUAUGAGGCAGAUGAAUUACGCCACAUGUUAGUAUGCUUAGUGAUUAUGGCUCCGUAGUUGGCUAGCCUUAUGUGUUCUCGCUUUUUGUAUUGAACUUUGUGUUGAAUGGCCGUAUUUUGUGGUCGGCUGAAUGCACCGAGCUUGAUCUUGUCUUAUAUUCUGAUGUUGAUCUUGAGAUC